Molecule: transfer RNA, 95 nt
Filed under: Streptomyces griseus
Lineage: Bacteria; Bacillati; Actinomycetota; Actinomycetes; Kitasatosporales; Streptomycetaceae
Also listed under: 1 other name
Description: tRNA-Arg(ccg)
Source: RNAcentral
AGCCGCUCCAGCGCGCGGUCGAGGGUCUUGGACUCCGGCUCCGGCAGAUCGCGGAGCCAGUAGGCGCCGCCGAGUUCCGGGCCCGGUACGGCCUC